AAAAACUCCGGUGGUGUGAGAUGGAUCCGCGUCUGAUUAGCCAGUUGGCGGGGUAACGGCCCACCAAAGCGACGAUCAGUAGCCGGCCUGAGAGGGUGACCGGCCACAUUGGGACUGAGACACGGCCCAAACUCCUACGGGAGGCAGCAGUGGGGAAUAUUGCACAAUGGGCGAAAGCCUGAUGCAGCGACGCCGCGUGAGUGAAGAAGUAUUUCGGUAUGUAAAGCUCUAUCAGCAGGGAAGAAAAUGACGGUACCUGACUAAGAAGCCCCGGCUAACUACGUGCCAGCAGCCGCGGUAAUACGUAGGGGGCAAGCGUUAUCCGGAUUUACUGGGUGUAAAGGGAGCGUAGACGGCGAAGCAAGUCUGAAGUGAAAACCCAGGGCUCAACCCUGGGACUGCUUUGGAAACUGUUUUGCUGGAGUGUCGGAGAGGUAAGUGGAAUUCCUAGUGUAGCGGUGAAAUGCGUAGAUAUUAGGAGGAACACCAGUGGCGAAGGCGGCUUACUGGACGAUAACUGACGUUGAGGCUCGAAAGCGUGGGGAGCAAACAGGAUUAGAUACCCUGGUAGUCCACGCCCUAAACGAUGAAUGCUAGGUGUUGGGGGGCAAAGCCCUUCGGUGCCGC
This 627-nucleotide ribosomal RNA is filed under the name uncultured bacterium. RNAcentral's name for it is "bacterial SSU rRNA". It matches the Rfam family "Bacterial small subunit ribosomal RNA", at positions 202 to 849 of the family's 1533-position model. The record is from RNAcentral.